RNAcentral lists this ribosomal RNA (446 nucleotides) under uncultured bacterium. Its description in RNAcentral is "partial 16S ribosomal RNA". It matches the Rfam family "Bacterial small subunit ribosomal RNA", at positions 329 to 792 of the family's 1533-position model. The record is from RNAcentral.
UUCCAGACUCCUACGGGAGGCAGCAGUGGGGAAUAUUGCACAAUGGGGGGAACCCUGAUGCAGCGACGCCGCGUGGGUGGAGAAGCGCCUCGGCGCGUAAAGCCCUGUCAGCAGGGAAGAAAAUGACGGUACCUGAAGAAGAAGCCCCGGCUAACUACGUGCCAGCAGCCGCGGUAAUACGUAGGGGGCGAGCGUUAUCCGGAUUCACUGGGUGUAAAGGGAGCGUAGACGGCCAUGCAAGCCAGGGGUGAAAGCCCGGGGCCCAACCCCGGGACUGCCCUUGGAACUGCAUGGCUGGAGUGCGGGAGGGGCAGGCGGAAUUCCUAGUGUAGCGGUGAAAUGCGUAGAUAUUAGGAGGAACACCGGUGGCGAAGGCGGCCUGCUGGACUGUGACUGACGUUGAGGCCCGAAGGCGUGGGGAGCAAACAGGAUUAGAUACCCCGGUA